This 1507-nucleotide ribosomal RNA is filed under the name human gut metagenome. RNAcentral's name for it is "bacterial LSU rRNA". It matches the Rfam family "Bacterial large subunit ribosomal RNA", at positions 463 to 1973 of the family's 2925-position model. The record is from RNAcentral.
AGGCUAAAUACUCGUGAUCGACCGAUAGUGAACCAGUACUGUGAAGGAAAGGCGAAAAGAACCCCGGGAGGGGAGUGAAAUAGAACCUGAAACCGCAUACAUACAAACAGUAGGAGCCCCUGCAGUGGGGUGACUGCGUACCUUUUGCAUAAUGGGUCAGCGACUUACGUUUUGUGGCGAGCUUAACCGAGUAGGGGAGGCGUAGCGAAAGCGAGUUCGAAUAGAGCGAGAAGUCUCAAGGCGUAGACCCGAAACCAGAUGAGCUAUCCAUGGCCAGGUUGAAGGUGUGGUAACACACACUGGAGGACCGAACCGACUAGUGUUGCAAAAUUAGCGGAUGAGCUGUGGAUAGGGGUGAAAGGCUUAACAAAUCUGGAGAUAGCUGGUUCUCCCCGAAAACUAUUGAGGUAGUGCCUCGUGUAUUGCUCCAGGGGGUAGAGCACUGUUAUGGCUAGGGGGACAUGGCGUCUUACCAAACCAUGGCAAACUCCGAAUACUUGGAAGUAAGAGCACGGGAGACAGAGCACCGGGUGCUAACGUCCGGACUCAAGAGGGAAACAACCCAGACCGCCGUUUAAGGUCCCAAAUAUUGACUAAGUGGAAAACGAAGUGUGAAGGCUAAGACAGUCAGGAAGUUGGCUUAGAAGCAGCCAUCCUUCAAAGAAAGCGUAAUAGCUCACUGAUCGAGUCCUCAUGCGCGGAAGAUGUAACGGGGCUAAGUCAAUAACCGAAAGCGCGGAUUUGUACGAAAGUACAAGUGGUAGGGGAGCGUUCUGUAAGCCUGCGAAGGUGGUUCGAGAGGACUGCUGGAGGUAUCAGAAGUGCGAAUGCUGACAUGAGUAACGUUAAAGCGGGUGAAAAGCCCGCUCGCCGUAAGCCCAAGGUUUCCUGCUCUACGUUCAUCGGAGCAGGGUGAGUCGGCCCCUAAGGCCAGGCUGAGAAGCGUAGUCGAUGGGAAGCAGAUUAAUAUUUCUGCACCAUGUGCAAGUGCGAUGGGGGGACGGAGUGCGAAAGAUCAUCCGGGUGUUGGAUGUCCCGGUUUGUGAGUGUAGAAGGCCGACAGGCAAAUCCGUCGGCGGAUCUUCGAGACAAAGCAUCGAGGUUCUACGGAACCGAAGUGAUCGGAAGUGCUUCCAGGAAAAGCCUCUAAGCUCCAGCUUGCAUAUGACCGUACCGUAAACCGACACUGGUGGGCGAGUUGAAUAUACUCAGGCGCUUGAGAGAACUCGGGAGAAGGAACUCGGCAAAUUGACACCGUAACUUCGGGAUAAGGUGUGCCUUUGUAGCGUGAAGAGAGAAACACUCGGAGCGUGAAGAGGCCUCAGAGAAUCGGUGGCUGCAACUGUUUAUUAAAAACACAGCACUCUGCAAAGACGAAAGUCGACGUAUAGGGUGUGAUGCCUGCCCGGUGCUGGAAGAUUAAGUGAUGGGGUGAGAGCUCCUGAUCGAAGUCCCAGUAAACGGCGGCCGUAACUAUAACGGUCCUAAGGUAGCGAAAUUCCUUGUC